CAGCCGCGGUAAUACAUAGGGUGCAAGCGUUGUCCGGAAUUAUUGGGCGUAAAGAGCUCGUACGUCGUUUGUUACGUCGGAUGUGAAAACCUGAGGCUCAACCUCACGCCUGCAUUCGAUACGGGCAAACUAGAGUUUGGUAGGGGAGACUGGAAUUCCUGGUGUAGCGGUGGAAUGCGCAGAUAUCAGGAGGAACACCAAUGGCGAAGGCAGGUCUCUGGGCCAAUACUGACACUGAGGAGCGAAAGUCUGGGGAGCGAACAGGAUUAGAUACCCUGGUAGUCCAGACCGUAAACGGUGGGCACUAGUUGUGGGAACCUUCCACGGUUUCUGCGACGCAGCUAACGCAUUAAGUGCCCCGCCCGGGGAGUACGAUCGCAAGAUUAAAACUC
This 392-nucleotide ribosomal RNA is filed under the name uncultured bacterium. Its description in RNAcentral is "bacterial SSU rRNA". It matches the Rfam family "Bacterial small subunit ribosomal RNA", at positions 512 to 902 of the family's 1533-position model. The record is from RNAcentral.